AUGCCUAGUACGGCGAGUGAGCGGCAACAGCUCAAAUUUGAAAGCUGGCUCCGGCCCGCAUUGUAAUUUGCAGAGGAUGCUUUUGGCGAGGUGCCUUCCGAGUUCCCUGGAACGGGACGCCAUAGAGGGUGAGAGCCCCGUAUGGAUGGACACCAAACCUGUGUAAAGCUCCUUCAACGAGUCGAGUAGUUUGGGAAUGCUGCUCUAAAUGGGAGGUAAAUCUCUUCUAAAGCUAAAUACCGGCCAGAGACCGAUAGCGCACAAGUAGAGUGAUCGAAAGAUGAAAAGCACCUUGAAAAGGGGGUUAAACAGUACGUGAAAUUGUUGAAAGGGAAGCAUUUAUGACCAGACUUGCGCCGGGCAGCUCAUCAGGGGUUCUCCCCUGUGCACUCUGCCCGGCUCAGGCCAGCAUCGGUUCUCGUGGGAGGAUAAGAACAGUGGGAACGUGGCCCCCCUCCGGGGGGGUGUUAUAGCCCAUUGUACGAUACUCUCGUGGGGACCGAGGUUCGCGCUCCGCAAGGAUGCUGGCGUAAUGGUCAUCAAUGACCCGUCUUGA
RNAcentral lists this ribosomal RNA (556 nucleotides) under Cytospora sorbicola. RNAcentral describes it as "eukaryotic LSU rRNA". It matches the Rfam family "Eukaryotic large subunit ribosomal RNA", at positions 73 to 657 of the family's 3401-position model. Lineage: Eukaryota; Fungi; Ascomycota; Sordariomycetes; Diaporthales; Cytosporaceae. The record is from RNAcentral.